CAACAAUUCCGUCUAAGAAGUGU
This 23-nucleotide non-coding RNA is filed under the name Arabidopsis thaliana (thale cress). The record is from RNAcentral. Lineage: Eukaryota; Viridiplantae; Streptophyta; Magnoliopsida; Brassicales; Brassicaceae.